This is an unclassified non-coding RNA of Erinaceus europaeus (western European hedgehog), 324 nucleotides long. Its record names the gene 7SK. It matches the Rfam family "7SK RNA". Rfam says of the family: 7SK was discovered as an abundant small nuclear RNA in the mid-70s but a possible function has only recently been suggested. Two independent studies have found that 7SK RNA binds the CDK9/cyclin T complex (known as elongation factor P-TEFb). NCBI's taxonomy places the organism in Eukaryota, Metazoa, Chordata, Mammalia, Eulipotyphla, Erinaceidae. The record is from Ensembl.
GGAUAUGAGGACGAUCUGGCUGUGACAUCUGUCACCCCACUGAUCACCAGUGUUGAUUUGGCUGAUCUGGCUGGCUAGGUAGGUGUCCCCCUCCUCGCUCACCAAUCCAUGUGCAUCCCUCCCGAAGCUGAUCGUACUGCCGAAGCUGAUCGUACUUGGUUGAAGAAGACAACCUUCCCCAAAUAAAAAUGAACUUUCUUCAGUUGAGGACAUAUAAUAGCUGCACUCCCCAGAUGGAACCUCCAAGCAAGCCCUCAAAAAUGUCUUCCUCUGUGAACUUUCAGUUUGGAUGAUUCACAAGAGAGAGAAAAGUCUUCAGUUCUC